UACGUAGGUGGCAAGCGUUGUCCGGAUUUACUGGGCGUAAAGCGCGCGCAGGCGGCGCGAUCAGUCGAGUGUGAAAGCCCCCGGCUCAACUGGGGAGGGUCAUUCGAUACUGUCGCGCUUGAAGAUAGGAGAGGGAAGCGGAAUUCCCGGUGUAGUGGUGAAAUGCGUAGAUAUCGGGAGGAACACCAGUGGCGAAGGCGGCUUUCUGGCCUAUUCUUGACGCUGAGGCGCGAAAGCUAGGGGAGCGAACGGG
This 253-nucleotide ribosomal RNA is filed under the name uncultured bacterium. RNAcentral's name for it is "partial 16S ribosomal RNA". It matches the Rfam family "Bacterial small subunit ribosomal RNA", at positions 524 to 776 of the family's 1533-position model. The record is from RNAcentral.